CGGGGUGCAGCAGGCGCGAAAACUUUACAAUGCUGGCAACAGCGAUAAGGGGACCUUGAGUGCCAGGAUACAAUCCUGGCUGUCGUGAUGCCUAAAAAGCAUUAUAUAGCAAGGGCCGGGCAAGACCGGUGCCGGCCGCCGCGGUAACACCGGCGGCUCGAGUGGUAACCGCUAUUAUUGGGUCUAAAGGGUCUGUAGCCGGCUUGGUUAGUCUCUUGGGAAAUCCGGCAGCUUAACUGUCGGGCUUUCAGGAGAUACUGCCAGGCUCGAGACCGGGAGAGGUGAGAGGUACUUCAUGGGUAGGGGUGAAAUCUUGUAAUCCUUGAAGGACCACCAGUGGCGAAGGCGUCUCACCAGAACGGAUCUGACGGCAAGGGACGAAAGCUAGGGGCACGAACCGGAUUAGAUACCCGGGUAGUCCUAGCCGUAAACGAUACUCGCUAGGUGUCGGCCACGGUGCGACCGUGGUCGGUGCCGUAGGGAAGCCGUGAAGCGAGCCACCUGGGAAGUACGGCCGCAAGGCUGAAACUUAAAGGAAUUGGCGGGGGAGCAC
RNAcentral lists this ribosomal RNA (553 nucleotides) under uncultured archaeon. RNAcentral describes it as "bacterial SSU rRNA". It matches the Rfam family "Archaeal small subunit ribosomal RNA", at positions 326 to 879 of the family's 1478-position model. The record is from RNAcentral.